AGUGGUGUAGCUCAACGGCAGAGUGCUGGUGACUGGGGGUGGGAGCCCUCCUUGGAGUCAGUAAGCGGCAGCCAGUAGGAGCGGGUUCGACUCCCGUCACCGCCACCA
This 108-nucleotide transfer RNA is filed under the name marine sediment metagenome. RNAcentral describes it as "tRNA-OTHER". It matches the Rfam family "tRNA". From Rfam's summary of the family: Transfer RNA (tRNA) molecules are approximately 80 nucleotides in length. Their secondary structure includes four short double-helical elements and three loops (D, anti-codon, and T loops). The record is from RNAcentral.